UGGGGAAUAUUGGACAAUGGGCGAAAGCCUGAUCCAGCCAUGCCGCGUGUGUGAAGAAGGUCUUCGGAUUGUAAAGCACUUUAAGUUGGGAGGAAGGGCAGUAAGCGAAUACCUUGCUGUUUUGACGUUACCGACAGAAUAAGCACCGGCUAACUCUGUGCCAGCAGCCGCGGUAAUACAGAGGGUGCAAGCGUUAAUCGGAAUUACUGGGCGUAAAGCGCGCGUAGGUGGUUCGUUAAGUUGGAUGUGAAAGCCCCGGGCUCAACCUGGGAACUGCAUCCAAAACUGGCGAGCUAGAGUAGGGCAGAGGGUGGUGGAAUUUCCUGUGUAGCGGUGAAAUGCGCAGAUAUAGGAAGGAACACCAGUGGCGAAGGCGACCACCUGGGCUCAUACUGACACUGAGGUGCGAAAGCGUGGGGAGCAAACAGG
RNAcentral lists this ribosomal RNA (429 nucleotides) under bacterium. Its description in RNAcentral is "partial 16S ribosomal RNA". It matches the Rfam family "Bacterial small subunit ribosomal RNA", at positions 355 to 776 of the family's 1533-position model. The record is from RNAcentral.